UGAGCUGUCACCCUAAACUUCCCAGUGACCCGCACCCCCUCCCCAGGACACGCACCCUCCUUUUCCCAAGGCUGACCUUUCCCCCAAGCCCCCAGUGACCUGCACCCUCCCCCAGGACUGACCUGUCCCCCCCAAACCUCCAGGGAUUCGCACCCCCCACCCUGGGGAGACCUGCGCCUCUCCUGGGACUGACCUGCCCCUCAAACCCCACUGCACCCCCUCACAGACCUGCCCCCUGUCUGGGGGAGACUGCGUCUCCCUCCUCCCAGGCCUGACCCGUACCCCCAGUGACCUGCAUCCCCCUUCCCCAAGGGGUCCUGAACCCUGCGCCUCCAAGGCUAUCCUGCUUGUCCUACACCUCCCCCCCCAGUGACCUGCACCCUUGCCCUGGGGUGUCCUGCCCCCCUCCUCCAUGGAGUUUUCUUCUUGGCUACCCUUUCCCAGCCCAAAGUGACCUACGAGCUACGAGCCCCCCCCCCCGCCUCCGGUCACCGUCCCCUGCAGGCCCUUCAGUCCCCGGGAUCUCCUGCCCCCCCUUCUUCACUGGGGUCACCUGCUUGGCGGCCUCCUCCCUGCGGUCCUUGCGCCUCUGGGGCCCCCUUCCCCACCAGACCAGAGCAGAGCAGGGGCUGAGGAUGCCCAGGGAUGCUGUGCCCUUGCCGGCUGCACCCCCCCCCCAGCCCCUGCCAAGGUUCAGACUUGAGUGUGCUGCGGAAUUGCGAUUUCCUGUGCUGUGCUUUACUUCUCUGAAAAUUACUGUCCACCCCUGUCCUUUACAAGUAAGUAACUCUUAACAGACCCCUUCUGAAUUCUAUUGCAAGAGUCAUCGAAGAGAGAGUCUAAUACAGGAACUGAAAGUUAGACUGUUAUACUAUUGUAGUAUUUUAUGCCUGUUUUCCUAAACCAGAGAUACAGGGGCCUCAAUGGUUCAAAUUUAAUUUCAUAAUCUUAAGAGGCUUCCAAAUGGACUUUAAAAAUUGAAAUGCCUUCUUGUAUCCAGUUUAAAGAAAUAUUCCCUUCUGAGAGACUUUAUUGUAGGUGUUUAUCAUAACUCUUCACCCAAACAAAGAAAAGCUAAAAGUGAAACUAAGUGAGAAAAGGGGGUGAUUUGUUGGCAGUAUUGUUGAAUGCCCACAAUUCUCAAGGCACUCAGUGGUACAAGGAAGACAUGAUUUCUUCCAUGUAAGAGCCUGUUGUAAUCUUAAGAGCUCAUUAAACAGCCUAAAGCUGAAAAAAGCAUUCUUAUUUGAAUUAUUUUCAUGUUUUAGUAUUUUAGGAAUUAGAAACAGGUGAGGGCAUGUAAAAACUUUUCAUCUGACUGCAUUUUCUUAGUAUUUUGGUUGUCAUCCAAUAAGAAGCAUAUUUAGCCAAGACAUUAUGAAAAAAAAAUUGGGCCUCAGGUCCUUACAAAUUUAUAUUAAGUUACGAGUACUUGCCCCAGUAAAUACAAAGAACCCAGGAGGAUCUGAAAUGAGGGAACCUGGAUUUAAAUGUCUGUUCCCAUUAGUUUACUCCAUGGUCAACACGCCUUCCCACUUGGAUGAGCCUGUUUUUCUUAUCUGUAAAAUGGAGAGAUAACAGUUCGUAAUGGCUACUCAGUGGUUUGUGUGGAAGAUGCUCUGAGUUACUGUAGUGUGGAAGGUGCCUGGAAAUUUCUGGGCUGUAAGGUAGCUGCUAUUUCAAAUCUUCAGGUCCAGAAACUAGCCUUCAAGUUUUUCUCCUGCUUAGCAAUGCCAGAGAAAUGAGCCAGCAAGACCUGGGUUCAAGUUGGGCCUCUGUGUGACUGGUCAGAUCACUUGACCUCUCGAUUCCCUGGGCAGCCAAGGUGCAGCCCUGCUUUGGAAGAGGGUGUUGCCAGGAGCCAAGGAGUCCCAGGUGGGACUGCUGAGUGACCAUUUCCGAGAUUGUUUGGAAUGAUUGUUUGGCAUUUAUUGUCUUUCCAACAUGUGCAGUUAUCAGAUGCACGUUUCUUUGCGGGAGGGGGAUGUCCAUAACCUAGUCGGCUGGCAGCUGUUAUCUAAAUAGUGGCCAGGUUUUGCUUUCGUUUGUGAAAUCACAGGCCUAGAGGUUGACUGGCUGCUGCUGACAAGUUACACCACCGUGGUAGGCCUCAGUUUCCUCAUCUAUAGAAUAGGGUGAUUGAACUGUCCAUUUCCUUAAUGUGUUUCUGGCCCAUUUUAAUUCUUCAUGAUUGCAUUCACUUCUUUUUUUUUUAAUCAGAAUUUUGGAACUGUAAUGAACUGCUCUUGCUCAGGUGAUAGGCAGGUUGUUGGGACUCAGCUUCCUGGCAGCAUUCUAGAAGGUGUUAUUAAGGGAAUGGUGUAGUUGGUGGGCGCUGAGAGAGGGAAGCUGGAUCGUGCCCAGCCUGUAGAUGGUCACCCAGAACCCGUCAUCCCAGACUAACUUCAGCUCAUUCUUUGAUGGGGUUUCUAGACUGUUACAGCAGGGGAUGCUCAAGGAUUGAGAUUGAGAUUGAGAUCCUAGAAAGGCCUUUGACAAAGGCACCACCAUGUUCAAGUUGGUGGUAGACCAAGGAACCUGGGCUGGAAAUUUGGAGAUUUCUCUGUGGACCCUUUCAAUGGGAAAAACAACAACUAAUUUUUCAUACUUAAUUAUAGGGAGAGAGACCAGAGAAGGUCCAAGUCCAGCUCAAAUUCAUUUGUUCUAAAAGGGUUCUUAAAAUUCCAAAAGGUUCUAUGUAAUAGAAGACAUAGAAGCUGAGGGUUGAAGUAGAAAUAAUAUUGGAUUGGCUGUUGGAGGGUUUGUAUUUGAGUCCCAGCUGGGUGACCUCUACACGUGUAAGUUUCCCUCUCUAUAAAGUGGGAACAAUGAUACUUGUUCCAUAAACUAACUCCCAGGGCUAUUGUGAAGAAAAUAUGUUGUGGACUCUUUUAAGUAUCAUAGAAAUAUGACUGGUUGAUGUUAAGGGAUCCCAUUGAUUGGUGAGAUGAAUUGACCGUUCCGUUGGUGUUCACUAUCUUCUUUAUGUGAAUCUCCCAUAGAGGCCCCCCACCCCCAGCCUAAAGGGCUCCUCCGUUCUUUAAAUUUGUCCAUUGUCUGGCCUUUCCAGUGGUGUGUACACUUGGUCAUUGGACAAGAAAUAGAAAUGAAGAGAGCUCCUUGAUGUGGGUGUUUGGUCUGUGCCUGCCCCCUUUAGCUGUGUCUGCUGAGCUGUCCACCAGGGCUUCACCUCACAUGCUGGGGGCUUGCCUCUUGGUCUCCAGAACUUCUGAGGGUGGCAGGGCAGUGCGUAGACUGAGCAGCUUUUCCAGUCACUCAUUUGUGGGAUGUUCUCUUUGGUGCUUGUGUUCGAUUUUACAUUGAGAACAUACUGCAGUCUAUGUUCCAUGCAUUUCUCUGUGUUCUUUGGGUCACCCUCCAUUUUGAUUUUUCCAAAGAUUACAGGAUUUGAAACCUCAUAGCUCCACUAGAAGAAUGCUGGUGUUGAGAAGAGAGGUCUUCAUUUUAGGGAGAAGUGGCUUUCCUUUCCACAAGGUGCAAGCCUCGGUGAAAAAGCCACAGCUACAGAGAUUCAGUGACCCUCUGAUUGUUAAUAUCAAGUGCGGUGAAAACAGGGAGCCUUAUGCUUGCCAAAGGUGUUUGGCCGUCAUGGAGCAGUGGUGUUUGCUUCUGUUUGUGAAGGACCCGUCAGAGGAAGCCCUAGAACGGCUCGGAGCCUCCUGACUUAGAUCCAUAAUGACUUAAGAGUUUGCCCUAAUCAUCCACACAGGAAAAACCACAUGGAUGAAGAUAGCAAAGUGAGCUAAGGAACGGUUUGUACAUUUUGAAAUAAAGUUUGGUCCUACUUAAAAGUGUAAAAAAUU
Molecule: long non-coding RNA, 3824 nt
Filed under: Phascolarctos cinereus (koala)
Lineage: Eukaryota; Metazoa; Chordata; Mammalia; Diprotodontia; Phascolarctidae
Description: lncRNA (ENSPCIG00000033173.1)
Source: RNAcentral